UGCGUCGGAACGUACCGAGUAAUGGGGGAUAACGCGGCGAAAGUCGCGCUAAUACCGCAUACGCCCUGAGGGGGAAAGCAGGGGAUCGCAAGACCUUGCGUUAUUCGAGCGGCCGACGUCUGAUUAGCUUGUUGGUGAGGUAAAGGCUCACCAAGGCGACGAUCAGUAGCGGGUCUGAGAGGAUGAUCCGCCACACUGGGACUGAGACACGGCCCAGACUCCUACGGGAGGCAGCAGUGGGGAAUUUUGGACAAUGGGGGCAACCCUGAUCCAGCCAUGCCGCGUGAGUGAAGAAGGCCUUCGGGUUGUAAAGCUCUUUCAGCUGGAGCGAAACGGUACGCUCUAACAUAGCGUGCUACUGACGGUACCAGCAGAAGAAGCACCGGCUAACUACGUG
Molecule: ribosomal RNA, 397 nt
Filed under: uncultured beta proteobacterium
Lineage: Bacteria; Pseudomonadati; Pseudomonadota; Betaproteobacteria
Description: bacterial SSU rRNA
Rfam family: Bacterial small subunit ribosomal RNA
Source: RNAcentral